RNAcentral lists this ribosomal RNA (254 nucleotides) under uncultured bacterium. Its description in RNAcentral is "partial 16S ribosomal RNA". It matches the Rfam family "Bacterial small subunit ribosomal RNA", at positions 524 to 776 of the family's 1533-position model. The record is from RNAcentral.
UACGUAGGGUGCGAGCGUUGUCCGGAAUUAUUGGGCGUAAAGAGCUCGUAGGCGGUGUGUCACGUCGGCCGUGAAAACCUGCAGCUUAACUGUGGGCGUGCGGUCGAUACGGGCAUCACUGGAGUUCGGCAGGGAAGACUGGAAUUCCUGGUGUAGCGGUGAAAUGCGCAGAUAUCAGGAGGAACACCGGUGGCGAAGGCGGGUCUCUGGGCCGAUACUGACGCUGAGGAGCGAAAGCGUGGGGAGCAAACAGG